RNAcentral lists this ribosomal RNA (60 nucleotides) under Bipolaris maydis (southern corn leaf blight pathogen). RNAcentral's name for it is "partial 28S ribosomal RNA". It matches the Rfam family "Eukaryotic large subunit ribosomal RNA", at positions 1 to 59 of the family's 3401-position model. Lineage: Eukaryota; Fungi; Ascomycota; Dothideomycetes; Pleosporales; Pleosporaceae. The record is from RNAcentral. RNAcentral also lists the same sequence under 29 other names.
UUGACCUCGGAUCAGGUAGGGAUACCCGCUGAACUUAAGCAUAUCAAUAAGCGGAGGAAA